This 245-nucleotide ribosomal RNA is filed under the name uncultured bacterium. RNAcentral's name for it is "partial 16S ribosomal RNA". It matches the Rfam family "Bacterial small subunit ribosomal RNA", at positions 1256 to 1500 of the family's 1533-position model. The record is from RNAcentral.
AGUAAUCUGGAGCGAACCCCAAAAAUAACGUCUCAGUUCGGACUGUGGUCUGCAACCCGACCACACGAAGCUGGAAUCGCUAGUAAUCGUGAAUCAGAAUGUCACGGUGAAUACGUUCCCGGGUCUUGUACACACCGCCCGUCACACCAUGGGAGUCAGCAACGCCCGAAGUCAGUGACCUAACCGAGAGGGAGGAGCUGCCGAAGGCGGGGCCGGUAACUGGGGUGAAGUCGUAACAAGGUAAC